CCUACGGGCGGCAGCAGUGGGGAAUAUUGGACAAUGGGGGCAACCCUGAUCCAGCCAUGCCGCGUGUGUGAAGAAGGCCCUCGGGUUGUAAAGCACUUUCAGUGAGGAAGAACGCCUGGUGGUUAAUACCCAUCAGGAAAGACAUCACUCACAGAAGAAGCACCGGCUAACUCCGUGCCAGCAGCCGCGGUAAUACGGAGGGUGCGAGCGUUAAUCGGAAUUACUGGGCGUAAAGCGCGCGUAGGUGGCUUGAUAAGCCGGUUGUGAAAGCCCCGGGCUCAACCUGGGAACGGCAUCCGGAACUGUCAAGCUAGAGUGCAGGAGAGGACGGUAGAAUUCCCGGUGUAGCGGUGAAAUGCGUAGAGAUCGGGAGGAAUACCAGUGGCGAAGGCGGCCUUCUGGACUGACACUGACACUGAGGUGCGAAAGCGUGGGUAGCAAACAGGAUUAGAUACCCUGGUAGUC
This 465-nucleotide ribosomal RNA is filed under the name Vreelandella stevensii. RNAcentral describes it as "partial 16S ribosomal RNA". It matches the Rfam family "Bacterial small subunit ribosomal RNA", at positions 338 to 795 of the family's 1533-position model. The record is from RNAcentral. Lineage: Bacteria; Pseudomonadati; Pseudomonadota; Gammaproteobacteria; Oceanospirillales; Halomonadaceae.